RNAcentral lists this ribosomal RNA (457 nucleotides) under uncultured Acidovorax sp. RNAcentral describes it as "bacterial SSU rRNA". It matches the Rfam family "Bacterial small subunit ribosomal RNA", at positions 923 to 1382 of the family's 1533-position model. Lineage: Bacteria; Pseudomonadati; Pseudomonadota; Betaproteobacteria; Burkholderiales; Comamonadaceae. The record is from RNAcentral.
GCACAAGCGGUGGAUGAUGUGGUUUAAUUCGAUGCAACGCGAAAACCUUACCACCUUUGACAUGUACGGAAUCCUUUAGAGAUAGAGGAGUGCUCGAAAGAGAACCGUAACACAGGUGCUGCAUGGCUGUCGUCAGCUCGUGUCGUGAGAUGUUGGGUUAAGUCCCGCAACGAGCGCAACCCUUGUCAUUAGUUGCUACAUUCAGUUGGGCACUCUAAUGAGACUGCCGGUGACAAACCGGAGGAAGGUGGGGAUGACGUCAAGUCCUCAUGGCCCUUAUGGGUAGGGCUUCACACGUCAUACAAUGGUCGGUACAGAGGGUUGCCAACCCGCGAGGGGGAGCUAAUCCCACAAAGCCGAUCGUAGUCCGGAUCGCAGUCUGCAACUCGACUGCGUGAAGUCGGAAUCGCUAGUAAUCGUGGAUCAGCAUGUCACGGUGAAUACGUUCCCGGGUCUU